CAUCUCAUUUUAUUCAUAUUUUUUCCAAAUCUGAACACAGGAAGUACAAAGCUUCUAUCGUUUUUUCCCCUUUCUUAAAAGGAAACCAGUUGUACAGUUAGUGCAUUCAAUCCUAAAACGAUGAAAAAAUAGAUCUGACUAAGAAGAAGAAGAAGAAGUGCUACAUAAGGAGAUGAUGAGGUAAAUCUGUCCAGGAAGAAGAAGAAAACAAACAAAUGAAGGAUGCAGUGAGACAAACAGACAGUCCACACAUUAUUAUUAUUAUUAUCAUCAUUAUAUACACGUCAGAUGCAUAGAAUACUUUCUCAAAUCCUUUUUUUACAUAAAUACCUACAUUUUGUUUUCAAAAAGACAAAAAACUACCAGCAAGAUGAAAAGUGAAACCGGUCCAAGUGUUUCUGAGAUCAACUCGCCGCUGAGCAGGACACACUGCUGCUGAUGCAUCAUGGGAAAAGCCUCAGUGAAAAACAACUGUAAUAUACAGCAGACUUUUCUGAUCACGCCUCCAUUAUUACCAGUGUAAUUUUAAAGAUUAAGUUGGUGUUGUUCUGUAUUUUUCUUGUCGUGUGUGUGUCCUGGCUGACAUGUUCCUUCAUUACCAUGAACAUACACUGUGCAAAGAAACAUACAGAAUAUGUUCAUGUUCUCCAAAUCUCAGUCCAGGCGUAACUUCAGUUGUUUUUCAUUUGGGCUUUUCAACAAAACUUUAUAAGACGAGAAAACUCCAGGUUCCUCCAGCAGGAAGGUAAGAUUUGAAUUCACACAUUCCAAAACGUAUUUAUUGUGGAAGAAAUGUUGUAAUUUCCCUGUUUUAGUCUCAUCGACAUUGAUCCUUACUUUCCUAAAUUUCCCAGAGUGCUUUUCAAGAAAAGCCAGCGAAUAAAGACAGAAAGUGGAUGAUUCCAGCCUCGACUUUUAACUUUAUCUCUUCUGUGUCUUCUAUUUCUCUGCACUGUAGCCAUUAAUGAUUUUCUAAAAAAAAAAAAAAAAAAUCCCUGAACUGUUUUAUCCAUUAUUUACACACGUAUCUGUAUGAUUAUGAUUAGAAUUACAUUUAAUCAUUUUUAGAUCUCUGUCCUGAAAGUCAAAAACAUUUGGUAGAGAGUCGAGUUAAAAUACAAUGAAUUUCAAAUGGAAUUUGGAAUGUAAAGAACAUCACAACCUGCUGUUCAGGAGGAUUAUUCCUGUUAGCAGAAAGAAAUUAAACUUCCAUCUGAAUGUUUGCUGUUUCUUCUCUCCUGCUGGAAGAACCUUAUUUUCUUUCUUUCCCUCAGACGUGUUGUUGAGUGGAGCAGAUUUCCUGCGAGCCGGCCGCCGUCUGUUGCAGACAGACGCUCAGAAACCUUCUCACUUUAAUCGUCUCUUUUUCAGGACGCUGGUUUUCGUUUGGCACCAAAAUCCACCAUCGAGUGUUCAGUCGACAGCUGUGACCACGUCUGGACUCCUGUUGGGCUUGUUUCCUGCAGUCCAACUCCAACAGGAAGUCACAGUUUGUUUUUUUUAAUCUCCUCUUUUUAAUGUCUUUUUUCAUCGUCUUUAACAGGAGAGGUCCGACCUCCUGCUGUCUGCAUGAGCGCUGAUGCCUUCAGGGACAUCACUCGGUCCUCGGAAAGAUUAGGCAAACUAGGAAAUAAUAUCAUUAUAAAACAGUCUAGUCGUCGCUGAUGACGUCCACGUCGUCUCCACCCCCGCCCGGCUGCUGCGUGGCUGCUCUCCAGCGGUUCACGUGUUGACUGCCCUUCCUCUUCUGCUGAGCUUCAGGAGACUCUUCCUCCAACUUCUGACGCUUGUGCUUCGUCCUGCGGUUCUGAAACCACACCUUCACCUGCAGCGAGACAGACAGCUCAUAAAUACUUGAGGAUGAUUCACUUCGUCUCACUGGCGUCAGUGCUCGUAUCGCUGUAGCGACCUGAUGACAAACACUGUCAAUCACUCCUGAGAAAAGGUGGAGGGAGCGCCGAGGAUCUGACUAACCAGCGACUCACUUCCCCCUCCAUCAUUCCUCAGAGCUGGGGCGACGCCAGCGGCUUC
Long non-coding RNA from Acanthopagrus latus (yellowfin seabream), 2031 nucleotides. RefSeq lists it as uncharacterized. The transcript is spliced from 4 exons. The record is from RefSeq and is a predicted model, not a curated record. NCBI's taxonomy places the organism in Eukaryota, Metazoa, Chordata, Actinopteri, Spariformes, Sparidae.